Molecule: long non-coding RNA, 1299 nt
Organism: Homo sapiens (human)
Lineage: Eukaryota; Metazoa; Chordata; Mammalia; Primates; Hominidae
Exons: 2
Source: RefSeq, a predicted model, not a curated record
CAUGGGCUCACUGAUGGUGGUUAAUAUUAACAACCCGUAUUUCCAUAGAGGUUUGCGAUUAUCUCCUCAUCCCACCUCGAAUUCCGCCUGCAGAGCUGAGACGAUGGCCAUGAAUGCUGCCACAAUCCCACCUCACGUGUGCACCUCGUAGUCACUACUUUUCCUCCAGACAUUUUCUCAAGCCAGAAGAAUGAGCACAGCCCACAUCUGAAGCAGCCUGAGAGGCUGGGCCUGCAGGGGAGAUACCGGCCCUAUGGAAGGCAGUUGGUGGGCAAAAGUCCGGUUUCUACGCUUUGAGGGGACACCUGUGGGGCACCCUGAGGCCCAGCCCUGCUGGGUGAGUAUGGCCUGGCUGUGUGUCUUCACAGCUCCUAUCACGACUUCAAAUUAUCUUCCACAUUUGUCUCCAGGUGACUAAUUACUGAGGUGAGGCCUGCAGUAGUCAGAAGAAUUUCCUCCUAAUUUUGUUAUGAAUGUGUGUGCGUAUUAUAUAGCAAAUAUCUUUGUUUUCUUCCCUCUCUUAUCCUGUUAUGUAACAUAAGAUGUAUUUAGGUUAUAAGAUUGUAUUCAAGAAUUGUGAAUUUUACAUCAUAGAAUCUAAGUUGAAAAUAUCAGAAGAAGAGUAAACCUCACUCAAGGCCUUUAUUUCCUUUUCUGGGGAAGAGAUUGUGUGUUUUCAGUUGUAUGUGGGAUUAGCUGUAUCACGUUAGGUGGAAUGGUGACCUUGGUAUCUUCUUUAUUUGAGGAUAAAGUGUGGUUUUAAGGAAACCCAUCAGUGCCAAGGUGACAACGGGUGACGUGAUGGUGAAUUUUACGUGUCAACUUGAUGAGGACACAGGGUGUCCAGAUAUUUGGUCAGACAUUCUGGGUGUGUCUGGGGGGUGUUUCUGGUUGAGAUUAAUAUUUUAAUUGUCAGACUGAGUAAAGCAGACUGCCCUCCCUAAUGGGGGUGGGCCUCAUCCACCCACGAGAAACCUGGAAUAGAAUGAAAGGGCCGUCCCUCCUCUGAGAAACGGGGGACUCUGCUGGCUGAUGGCCCCCACCUGGAAUGCUGGCUCUUCCUGCCCAGCUGCCUUCAAGCUGGGACAUUAGCUUUCUGCUGCCUUCAGACUCUAACUGGAACAUCUCUUCCUGGGUCUCCAGCCUGCUGGCCUUUGGACUGGAGCUACACCAUCAGCUCUCGGAGGUCUCCACUCGCCAACUCACCCUGCAGAUCACGGAACUUGUCAGCCUCCAUAACUGCAGGAGCCAAUGCCUUAUAAUAAAAUCUCUUUCUCUUGUCUUUUCUCUUUCUCUCUC